CCGUAGCCUAGCCUGGAUAAGGCGUCGGACUUCUAAUCCGGAGACCCCGGGUUCAAAUCCCGGCGGGU
Molecule: transfer RNA, 68 nt
Filed under: uncultured Methanobrevibacter sp.
Lineage: Archaea; Methanobacteriati; Methanobacteriota; Methanobacteria; Methanobacteriales; Methanobacteriaceae
Rfam family: tRNA
About the family: Transfer RNA (tRNA) molecules are approximately 80 nucleotides in length. Their secondary structure includes four short double-helical elements and three loops (D, anti-codon, and T loops).
Source: RNAcentral